This 292-nucleotide ribosomal RNA is filed under the name uncultured bacterium. Its description in RNAcentral is "partial 16S ribosomal RNA". It matches the Rfam family "Bacterial small subunit ribosomal RNA", at positions 505 to 796 of the family's 1533-position model. The record is from RNAcentral.
GUGCCAGCAGCCGCGGUAAUACAGAGGCCCCAAGCGUUACUGAGAAUCACUGGGUUUAAAGGGUGCGUAGGUGGUUUGUUAAGUCUGUUGUGAAAUCCCCGGGCUCAACCCGGGAACUGCUUCGGAUACUGGCAAACUUGAGGUCGGUAGGGGUCACUGGAACUGAUGGUGGAGCGGUGAAAUGCGUAGAUAUCAUCAGGAACGCCAAUGGUGAAGACAGGUGACUUGGCCGAAUCUGACACUGAGGCACGAAAGCGUGGGGAGCGAACGGGAUUAGAUACCCCUGUAGUCC